Molecule: ribosomal RNA, 19 nt
Filed under: Phytophthora cinnamomi
Lineage: Eukaryota; Oomycota; Peronosporomycetes; Peronosporales; Peronosporaceae
Also listed under: 1 other name
Description: partial 18S ribosomal RNA
Source: RNAcentral
CUCUGCGGAAGGAUCAUUA